Molecule: ribosomal RNA, 503 nt
Filed under: uncultured bacterium
Lineage: Bacteria
Description: partial 16S ribosomal RNA
Rfam family: Bacterial small subunit ribosomal RNA
Source: RNAcentral
AUUGAACGCUGGCGGCAGGCUUAACACAUGCAAGUCGAGCGGGGGGAGGUAGCUUGCUACCGGACCUAGCGGCGGACGGGUGAGUAAUGCUUAGGAAUCUGCCUGUUAGUGGGGGACAACAUCUCGAAAGGGAUGCUAAUACCGCAUACGUCCUACGGGAGAAAGCAGGGGAUCACUUGUGACCUUGCGCUAAUAGAUGAGCCUAAGUCGGAUUAGCUAGUUGGUGGGGUAAAGGCCCACCAAGGCGACGAUCUGUAGCGGGUCUGAGAGGAUGAUCCGGCACAGUGGGCCUGAGACACGGCCCAGACUCCUACGGGGGGCAGCAGUGGGGAAUAUUGGACAAUGGGGGGAACCCUGAUCCAGCCAUGCCGCGUGUGUGAAGAAGGCCUUAUGGUUGUAAAGCACUUUAAGCGAGGAGGAGGCUCUUUUGGUUAAUACCCAAGAUGAGUGGACGUUACUCGCAGAAUAAGCACCGGCUAACUCUGUGCCAGCCGCCGCGGUAA